UCACAAUUCUUUACAGAAGAUUACUCCUUCGCAGAAGACUCUGACACUUUCAGAAUCAUUAGCCGUUAUGAGUCUCUUCGACUACCACCGUCUCGAUCAACAACUUCUUCACACCAUCGCUUAUGACGCUCUCGUUUGGAGCUCUCUCCAUGGCCUUGUCGUCGGUGAUAAGUCUGUUCAGAGAUCAGGGAGCGUUCCCGGCGUAGGAUUGGUGCAUGCUCCGAUUGCAUUGUUACCGACGCCGUUUCCCCAAAACAAGUGGAGACAAGCCUCCGAAUUGGCUCCGAUAUUCAAUGAACUCGUUGAUCGUGUUAGCUUGGAUGCAUCCUUUCUCCAACACUCUCUCUCCAGAACUAAAGAAGCCGAUGAAUUCACCUCUAAACUUUUGGACAUUCAUGCCAACAUGCUACAUAUGAACAAAAAAGAGGAAAUACGAUUGGG
Molecule: small RNA, 441 nt
Filed under: Vigna angularis var. angularis
Lineage: Eukaryota; Viridiplantae; Streptophyta; Magnoliopsida; Fabales; Fabaceae
Description: Non-protein coding transcript
Source: RNAcentral